UCGCGGCUUAUCACCGGCAGUCCCCUUAGAGUGCCCAACUGAAUGGUGGCAACAUGGGACGGGGGUUGCGCUCGUUGCGGGACUUAACCCAACAUCUCACGACACGAGCUGACGACAGCCAUGCAGCACCUGUGUACGCGUCCCGAAGGAGGCCCGGCGUUUCUGCCGGCUUUCACGUACAUGUCAAGCCCAGGUAAGGUUCUUCGCGUUGCAUCGAAUUAAACCACAUGCUCCACCGCUUGUGCGGGUCCCCGUCAAUUCCUUUGAGUUUUAACCUUGCGGCCGUACUCCCCAGGCGGUCAACUUCACGCGUUAGCUUCGUUACUAAUGGGUUUAACCCCACCAACAACCAGUUGACAUCGUUUAGGGCGUGGACUAC
This 379-nucleotide unclassified non-coding RNA is filed under the name uncultured Gammaproteobacteria bacterium. Its description in RNAcentral is "contains 16S-23S intergenic spacer region". Lineage: Bacteria; Pseudomonadati; Pseudomonadota; Gammaproteobacteria. The record is from RNAcentral.